AAGGUAUUAGUUCAAAUGGUAGAGCAAUGUGCAUGUACAUGGUGUGGGUUCAAGUCCCAUAUAGCCUA
RNAcentral lists this transfer RNA (68 nucleotides) under Spinacia oleracea (spinach). It matches the Rfam family "tRNA". Rfam says of the family: Transfer RNA (tRNA) molecules are approximately 80 nucleotides in length. The record is from Rfam by way of RNAcentral. Lineage: Eukaryota; Viridiplantae; Streptophyta; Magnoliopsida; Caryophyllales; Amaranthaceae.